GCCUGGGUGGCUCAGUCGGUUGAGCGUCCGACUUCGACUCAGGUCAUGAUCUCACAGUUCGUGGGUUCGAGCCCUGCAUCAGGCU
This 85-nucleotide transfer RNA is filed under the name Felis catus (domestic cat). It matches the Rfam family "tRNA". From Rfam's summary of the family: Transfer RNA (tRNA) molecules are approximately 80 nucleotides in length. Their secondary structure includes four short double-helical elements and three loops (D, anti-codon, and T loops). Lineage: Eukaryota; Metazoa; Chordata; Mammalia; Carnivora; Felidae. The record is from Rfam by way of RNAcentral.